Molecule: long non-coding RNA, 818 nt
Filed under: Capsicum annuum
Lineage: Eukaryota; Viridiplantae; Streptophyta; Magnoliopsida; Solanales; Solanaceae
Description: long non-coding RNA (CANN_LNC003789)
Source: RNAcentral
UUCUAUUAGUGGAAUUUUUUUUAAAACCUCUUUUUCUUGUCUAGUGUCUAUUUUGUUGGCACACUACUUUCAUUUUUGAAAGCAUAAGUCUUCUAUAUAAAGAGACGGUACUGCAUGGAAAAAUGAGAAGAAAAUUUUAAGUUCACAAAUUUUAGUUAUUAAAGAGAGUUUAUUACUUGAAGUGUGAAGCUUUGAACUCAACUCUUGUCCAGAGUUGUUGAGUUACUGUAGAAGGCUGUUGUAUCCUGGAGAGGACAAGCCAAGAAGAUUACUAUUGUACUGGUGAAACACUUGUUGCAGUGGGCUUGAAUCUCCUUAAAGAGAGCGAGAUAUCCGUGCCUCAGCCGUAGAAGAAGAAAAUAAUAUUUUUCUUUAUUCAUUUGUAAUUUUCAGUUGUAAUAGUUAUUGUAAUUUCAUCAACAAUUUUAAGGAGAUUCAAUAUGGCAACAACUGAAAAUUUCGCAGAUGUCAAGAUAGGAGAUCUUAACAAGCCAUUCCGGUUCAACGGGACUAACUUCAAGAGGUGAAAGGGUAAAGUAUUUUUUUACUUGAGUCUUCUCUAUGUAUCUUAUAUAUUGACUGCGAAGAAUCCAAACAAAGUAGAUAACUCUUCCAUGAGUGAUGAAGAACUCAUUUCUCUUGAAUAGAAAGUGGAAAAAUACAAUAAUGACUCCUAUAAGUGUCGAUAUUUUUUACUUAAUAGUCUAUCUGAUAAUUUUUAUGAUUAUUAUGAUAGAACUUACUCUAGUGCAAAGAAAAUUUGGAAAGCAUUGCAGAGUAAGUAUGACACUGAGGAGGAGGGAGCAAAAAGAUAUGCG